CCGGCCUAGGAGACGGCUGCGCUACGGGGAAUAUCUGGACCCGCGGUACAUUACACUGGCGGCUUCCUGGACCACGGGUCCAGAUUUGUGUGUCCGUGCGGCCGUCGGCGUGUGUCUCCCGGAUCGAACCGCUUGAAACUUGGUGUCGCUCCCGAGCAGAGUAGAGCCCUCUCCGGCGAUUUGAGCAGGUGCUGAAGCGGGGUGUGCGGGGACUGUGACGGCGAAGUGGCGGAGGGUAGAGCAGGAUUUCGCCGGCGACCUGAAUCAACGAAUUGGAUUUCCCGCUGGAUCUGGUGAGCAGCGUUCCUAUCUGGGAGGGCGGAGCGGACGCUGCGGUGGAUGCUACGGCCGCGAGGGAAGAUGGCGAGUGCAAUGGAGCAGGAUCAAUCCGCGAUGGGCAAAGUACAAAGCUAUUGCCGGGUUCGGGUUCUGAGCAGGACGCUGAUGGGCAAGCGGACUCCGCACUCUCAACUGGAAAUAGGGAUCUGCAAUCUCUGGGGUAGAAAAAAAUGGUAAUUAAUCGCCAGAGCAUACGCAUGAAAUUCGGCCAGCUCAGUUAGAAAUAAUCUGUGUGCAUUCGUAUGAUCACAGAUAGAAAUUAGAGGUUAACAUAUUUGGCUGAUGCAAUGCCCUUGUGGAUUCAUUACGCAUGUUCAGUUUGACAUAUUUUCUUUUA
This is a long non-coding RNA of Lolium perenne, 676 nucleotides long. RefSeq lists it as uncharacterized. Lineage: Eukaryota; Viridiplantae; Streptophyta; Magnoliopsida; Poales; Poaceae. The record is from RefSeq and is a predicted model, not a curated record.